RNAcentral lists this transfer RNA (77 nucleotides) under Suttonella indologenes. RNAcentral's name for it is "tRNA-Ile(gat)". It matches the Rfam family "tRNA". From Rfam's summary of the family: Transfer RNA (tRNA) molecules are approximately 80 nucleotides in length. Their secondary structure includes four short double-helical elements and three loops (D, anti-codon, and T loops). Lineage: Bacteria; Pseudomonadati; Pseudomonadota; Gammaproteobacteria; Cardiobacteriales; Cardiobacteriaceae. The record is from RNAcentral.
UGGUCUGUAGCUCAGUUGGUUAGAGCGCACCCCUGAUAAGGGUGAGGUCGAUGGUUCAAGUCCAUUCAGACCAACCA